RNAcentral lists this ribosomal RNA (406 nucleotides) under uncultured bacterium. Its description in RNAcentral is "partial 16S ribosomal RNA". It matches the Rfam family "Bacterial small subunit ribosomal RNA", at positions 29 to 526 of the family's 1533-position model. The record is from RNAcentral.
AUUGAACGCUGGCGGCAGGCUUAACACAUGCAAGUCGCGCGAGCGGCGGACGGGUGAGUAAUGUCUGGGAAACUGCCUGCUGGAGGGGGAUAACUACUGGAAACGGUAGCUAAUACCGCAUACCAUCAGAUGUGCCCAGAUGGGAUUAGCUAGUAGGUGGGGUAAUGGCUCACCUAGGCGACGAUCCCUAGCUGGUCUGAGAGGAUGAACAGCCAAACUGGAACGGAGACACGGUCCAGACUCCUAAGGGAGGCAGCAGUGGGGAAUAGUGGAAAAUGGGCGGAAGCCCGAUGCAGCCAUGCCGCGGGGUGGAAGAAGGCCUUCGGGUUGUAAAGCACUUUCAGCGAGGAGGCGUUACUCGCAGAAGAAGCACCGGCGAACUCCGUGCCAGCAGCCGCGGUAAUAC